AUCCAGAUGACUAGUCUCAAAUAGGACGCAAUGCGCAUCCUGGAU
Trichobilharzia regenti is the source of this 45-nucleotide non-coding RNA. The record is from Rfam. NCBI's taxonomy places the organism in Eukaryota, Metazoa, Platyhelminthes, Trematoda, Strigeidida, Schistosomatidae.